GUCUAGUAGCUCAGUGCUUAAAGCGCUAGCAUGAUAUGCUAGAGACCCUGGGUUCGAGACCCAGUUGAUACA
This 72-nucleotide transfer RNA is filed under the name Magallana gigas (Pacific oyster). Its description in RNAcentral is "Crassostrea gigas (Pacific oyster) tRNA". It matches the Rfam family "tRNA". Rfam says of the family: Transfer RNA (tRNA) molecules are approximately 80 nucleotides in length. Their secondary structure includes four short double-helical elements and three loops (D, anti-codon, and T loops). Further hydrogen bonds mediate the characteristic L-shaped molecular structure. tRNAs have two regions of fundamental functional importance: the anti-codon, which is responsible for specific mRNA codon recognition, and the 3' end, to which the tRNAs corresponding amino acid is attached (by aminoacyl-tRNA synthetases). tRNAs cope with the degeneracy of the genetic code in two manners: having more than one tRNA (with a specific anti-codon) for a particular amino acid; and 'wobble' base-pairing, i.e. permitting non-standard base-pairing at the 3rd anti-codon position. The record is from Rfam by way of RNAcentral. Lineage: Eukaryota; Metazoa; Mollusca; Bivalvia; Ostreida; Ostreidae.